UACAUAGGGUGCGAGCGUUAAUCGGAAUUACUGGGCGUAAAGCGUGCGCAGGCGGUUCGUUGUGUCCGAUGUGAAAGCCCCGGGCUUAACCUGGGAAUGGCAUUGGAAACUGGCGAGCUUGAGUGCGGCAGAGGGGGGUGGAAUUCCGCGUGUAGCAGUGAAAUGCGUAGAGAUGCGGAGGAACACCGAUGGCGAAGGCAGCCCCCUGGGUCGACACUGACGCUCAGGCACGAAAGCGUGGGGAGCAAACAGG
This 253-nucleotide ribosomal RNA is filed under the name uncultured bacterium. RNAcentral describes it as "partial 16S ribosomal RNA". It matches the Rfam family "Bacterial small subunit ribosomal RNA", at positions 524 to 776 of the family's 1533-position model. The record is from RNAcentral.